CCUGUUUCAGAUUCUGUGUCUCCCUCUCUCUGGCCCUCCCCCAUUCAUGCUCUGUCUCUCUCUGUCUCAAAAAUGAAUAAAUGUUAAAAAAAAAAAUUAAAAAAAGAAAAAAAAAGGGUCCAGUCACUUCUAACCCACUUUGUAUGCAUAUGUUCGAAUAUCAUAUUUUGUAUGCCUGUAUGUGUGUAAAUUCACCCAGGUAAGCAAAGUACCUUUGCAAAUCAGCAUUCUAUACAGAGCCACACUCACUCCUUUUAAAUGAGAGCAUGCUUUAGAGGGGGUUGCAUUCAUGUAACAGACUUGGAGUGAUAACUUGGCUCAAGUACCCCAGAGACCUAAACAAACGCACGAAUUUCUCCCUGCCUACUUUACUAUUUAAGGAUUGAAUUCCAACAUUAGGAAGAUUAAUUACCGCAUGCAUUGUAAUGAACAUGGCAUGUUUAGUAUGAUCACAUAUUACACCUCUGUCAUGAAUAGGGUUAUACUAUAAAGGCAAAUCAGCACUCCACAAAAUGAAGGCUAUUGGGAAGUUAGAUUCAACUUUAAUCCGUGAGGAGAUGCCUGCAAAGAAUUAAUGAAUAUAACCUCCUCAAGUGGACGGUUUGCUGGAGUAACAACUCUCACACCAUGCCUUCUCCUGUUCAGCUGUGUUCUCUCUGUUCUAUUUGCUUUCUUCAAUCCUUUUGCCUUGUAAUAUUUCUCCUUUCAUUUCCCAUGUCUAACUCUCCCACAUCGGUCCCACAUCUCCAACUGUCCAAAUGCCUCUACUUGGUUCUUCUCUAGGGUUAUCAUCUCUCUUGAUUUCUCAGCUUUCCUUAUAUGUUUUGACUGUCUCCAAUAUCCUCAUCUUGCCUGUUACUCUCCACAUUUAUAAAUGCAUUUUUGGGGGCCGGCUGACCCACACUUUUCUGAGGUCAGCUAGAGCAGGUUUCUGCUAAGGGGCAACCACAGGAUCACGGACAGAAAGACAAGUGUCCAUAUCUCUACACUUGAUCUAGGGAUCGGAUAUUGGUUCUCACCAAUGGUUGUUAAUCGUCCCUCAGAGCAUUUUGCUAACACUGAGAGAUGGCAACCAGGCAAGCCGCUUGAUGUGAGAAAAUAUCUCGGGCCACCCUUUUCCCUUUGCCACGGAGUAACUGGCUAGCUUUCCAGGGGCCACUUGUGGAAGGAAAUGGCAUUAUCUGUGAACACAGGUUCCAGAAUUGCAGUGAGAAAGUUGUUUUUCAGAAUCAGUUGAUGGCCCAUAUAAAAGUGUCAAGGGGGCAAAGGUGAAUAUAGAACUCAAAAUAUUUCUACUGUGGAAAGAAAAUUCAUAUGUACCUAGCAUGUGUCAUAAACACUGUCACAAUUAACGUGUAUCAUUACAUAAUACAGAGUUCAGAGACCUCGGUGUUGUUAAAGCUAUUUGGAGAUGGUGUUCUCAUUCUAAAAAUAUAGUACUUAUGACUUUAUGUGUAUUAUGUCUAGAAUAAUUAAGCUGAUCUCACAUGAAGCUUUGGCACUCUGUCUGCUAACAUCGUUCACGUGAAGUGUUUACAAAAGGGGGACUUUGAAUAUUUUCUACUGCAGCAAGUUGCCUACGAAUUUAGCCUAUUUUAAGUGAGAAAUUACAAAUGUAUGCAUCAAAUGAUACGCUACUUUUUCUAGGGCUUAGGAACUCCUGUUCAUUUCAAGAUACGAUCAUAGAAAAAGGGAGUAAGAGUAGAUAACAAAACAGAAAAGUCUACUUCUGAUAGCUAUAAGAUUGGAGCACAAAAAACAGAGAAGUCAAGGAAUGAAUUCAGAUGAAUCAGAUCAGCAGAGUACUAAACUUAAUGAUUUAGGGCCAAGAUGAUUUUGAAAGGGUCGAAACUAACAGAAACAGCAUACCUGUAUUCAUUUUGACCUUGGAGGGUUUGUUAUUAAAAUCUCCAGUUUUCCUGUAGAAAGAAAACGAUGCAUUAAUUUGCUCACUAGUAUGUGGAACAAAAUACCAUGAACAAGUGUUUUUGUUUUGCUUUUGGUGUACCUGGGAGUUAAUAGCACAUUACCGUUAGUCUUAUUUUAAAUCGGGGUGAAUUCUAAAUCGGGGUGAAUGUAUAAUUCUAUUCAAAUUAAACUUCAGUUACUAUUUGGUCCUUGCUCGUAAACAUAAACUUAGGUUUUUGCUUAAUGGUGACCACUAAUGGAUGAAAAUGGCGAGGAAUUCAACUGUGUUAAAAAUUAAAUUUCUUUCACAAACAUUUAUGCUAAGAGUUUUUGUUUUCUAAGCCCCAAAGGGCCAUUGGUUGUUAAGCGUCCUCUUCCAGAAUUUUGAAAGGUAGUCUGGUGCUUUGGAAUCAUGACCUUGCAUUGUUCAAUUUAUUAACAUUAUUUAAUUUAUUUUGUUUGAGAUCAUGACCUUACAUUAUUUAAUUUAUUACUGGGUCAGUUUCUUACCAGGGAAUAGUUAAUGAAUUGAGCAUGUAUUUUGAGGAAACAGUCAAGAAAGAUGAGAUGCACCUAUUUUUUCUUCUUAAGACACGGGAAAUAUAAAACCUAUUUCUGUUUCAGUACCUGAUGCUGUGGUUCUUUCCAAUUUAGUAUUUGCUGUGUAACAAUUGAGGUUAAUUCCCUAGAAAUGGUUGGUGGAAUGUUGCCGGCUGCAGAAAAAGUUUUAAGAUACUGUGCAUUAUUUUAUGUCAUGUGAGAUGACCUAGUUCUUUCCCUGGCGUAUUCUUUCAGCCCAUUUUUAGAGUUUCUUACUUCUCCAUACACCAAGACCAAAGGGGAAGGACGUGCUGUCAUAGGAAGCAAUUCUUUUAAGAGCGAGAGCUCUGAAAGAGAGGUUUACCCCCAGCCAACCUGCCUUUGCUCCUGAGUUGGAUGAACACAAACUUUUCCAGCCCCCAUAUAUUCGGUUUCCAGGUAUCCUAUUCUGAAAGAAGCAGAGGCAAAAUCCUUUCCUCAAGUUUGGCCAAGAAUUCUGUUCUCUGCAUUUAGAAAGAUAAGAAUCCACCUCAAGCCCUUUUCUGAAUGGGUUCCCUGAAUUGACAGCUGAUAUAUGACACGGACUCAGAGGCUCCUCGGACAUCACAGUUGAUAGUAAGGUCAUGGUUGUCCAUGUUCAGCCUUCAAUAACUAAAAAUUCCUCCCAACAUUCCCCAGCUAAUGGUGCCUGAAGAUGAGUCCUUAUUAUUCAAGAGCCAAAUCAUCCACAGCAUUUAUAUGCGAACGCUGGGGUAAGAACACAUUCAACAUCAUUUCUAGGAAUAAGGAGAGAUCAUUACCAUGAAUAGUGAAGAACAAAGAACAUGAGGUCAUUGAUUAUUUUUAUAAGAAUAUACAAUAUAUUUUUAACAAAAUUUAACCAAAACAUUCUUUUAUAUCAAAUAUCCUGAUACCUGGAAAAAUUUCCUGAGGAGGAAUAGCAUGUUUAAAAUGGAAAUUAGCAAUUUUUCUUUUGAGACUUUACAAAGCAAGCUAGUCAAAAUUGGUAACAGAUUUUUCCUGAAGACUAUACUGGUUAGAAGUCAAUCACUUGGUAAAUAAUUUUCUUUCUGGAGCUUUCCAAAGCCUCAAAGUCUGUAAAUCACUCUCUUCUUUAAUUAUAAAAGAAUGCUGACUUCUUUUCACCUUACAUGGUCAUGUGAUUUUAUUUAUUUAUAAAUAUUUAAUUUAAAUAUAUUCCUCUAGUGUCCUACCUUCAUUGGAUCUUUAACUUUUAUAUUGAGGAUGCUUAUAGGUUACAUCUAAAUACUUAAAAAUGAAUGCCUUUUUUCUCUAAAACAAAGUCAUUUGUUCAAAAGUACUAGAAAAAUUCCACUGGUUUCUAUUAUGUAAAUCUAAAGCCAAAUGGGUUCCCAAUGAAAAAAAAAGCAGAUUUCUAAUGGGGAUCUGAUGAGUCAGGCACAUUAUCAAAGAGACAAGUGAGGAGUUAAUAGAAUAUAGGAACACAUGUUACAGGUGAACUGAGUAGUGUUGGAAGGAUAGGUUACGGAGUCAGGCAGACCUAGAUGCAAAAUCCAAUUCUACCUAUUUCCAGUCAUCUAAACAAUUUAUACUAAUGUCGUGAUCUUCUUCUACAACAGCAACAGCAGCAGGAUCAAACCUAUCCCCGUCCCCUCUGCAGUAAACCAUCCCCAAAUUGGCAUCAUUCUCGUUCCCCGAUAUUUCAGGUACUUUGAGGCAUACCUUUUAUCUUGGACUGAGUCUUGACAAAAUGAUCUAGACUUCCCUGAAAGUAUAUAGGACAUUAUUUUAUUGCUUUAAAUUGAAGUCAGAUGGGGUGCCUGGUGGCUUGGUUGGUUAAGCAUCCAACUCUUCAUUUUAGCUCAAGCCAUGAUCUCAGGGUUCGUGAGA
Molecule: long non-coding RNA, 4320 nt
Organism: Felis catus (domestic cat)
Lineage: Eukaryota; Metazoa; Chordata; Mammalia; Carnivora; Felidae
Exons: 3
Source: RefSeq, a predicted model, not a curated record